This is a long non-coding RNA of Poecile atricapillus (Black-capped chickadee), 229 nucleotides long. RefSeq lists it as uncharacterized. Lineage: Eukaryota; Metazoa; Chordata; Aves; Passeriformes; Paridae. The transcript has 3 exons. The record is from RefSeq and is a predicted model, not a curated record.
UCAACACAUUCUGUAAAGUUUGGUUAUUUUAUAGAUAAAAAAGUUUGAGAUACGGCAUCAUGGGUUAUGGUGGUUUUUAUGGCUCUUUGAGCAGGAGGAAUGGCAGAGCAAUCAACUGGGAAGCCAGCAGAUUCCUAGAGCUCAUCCUGGCCAAUGGGGAGAAUGGAUAUGGUUGAUCCUCACUUGGUGUGUCCAGUACACAGACUGUUGGAAGAGGUGCUGGAAAAUA